RNAcentral lists this long non-coding RNA (1670 nucleotides) under Dendronephthya gigantea. Its description in RNAcentral is "uncharacterized LOC114525638". The record is from RNAcentral. Lineage: Eukaryota; Metazoa; Cnidaria; Anthozoa; Malacalcyonacea; Nephtheidae.
UUUAUCUGAACUGCAAUGGCUCUUAGCAGAUGCUCUCAUGAUGAUGAUACAAAAGCUUCAUCUCUUUGUUAAUGGAACAAUAUUGGAUCAGCUGGAAGUUCGCUUUGCAACAAGAUGUUGUUGUUUCAACGAGACAAACGAGAGAAAAACGAUUGCUUUCUCGUGAACUUACUCGGAACUUCAUGCUGGGAUAUGAUUUUCACAUCAAGAGCAUCGCAUAUCCUUAAUAAAUAUUGGGAACACUAUUGGUACUUCAAAGAGAAACCGUUCAUUGAUUUGACCAUAUUGUUGCAUGGUAAUUCAGUACCAUGAACACGAAAACCAAAACUUUUAUUUCCGAACUUUAUCGUCGCAAAAGGGAAGGAUCUGAGGAUAGAAAGGUUCCGACGCUAGGGAGAAAUUUAGAUCCUAGAACAAUAAUUUCGAGAACAGAUAACGCGGGCUCAUAACUAUUACGUCAACGUAGAUUGGGUUCCUGUAAACGAGUCAGUGAUUAUCUUUGAAGGACGCCAAACACAGACGCCAAAUACCUCAACUGCCAAGGAAUAAAGCUGUCGCUAGCAUUCAUUAUAUCUCGCCAAGAAAAGUAAAACAAGCGUUUUGAGUCGUUUAAAGAGUAUAGAGAAGAGCAAUGGGUCAAUCUCAGUCUACCAGUGAUACAUCAGUUGAUGGAAUACGCCUGGUUGUCAUACACAAUCGGUCUUCAUCACCAGAUAUGAGAACCUUUUGCAACGCAGUUCAAACGAAGCCACCGCCAGGCAGUUUGGGGGAUGUUGUAGAUGACAGGUAUUAUAAUGCCCAUCUUUCCCAGUCCACAAAGAAUGAUUUUAAACAGUGGACAUCAGAAUGGACGCGUCGAGGUGGUAUCGUCCUUCUUUGCUUGUUAGCGGAUCACAAUGAUCAAGAAUUAAAUGCACAUAUCAAAGGGAACGACAGGAUCAUUGAGUUCUGCUUUCGGCAUCCUCCAGUGAAUGGCCUUAAACCAAUCAUGAUAAAUGUGGAUUUUGACACCGCAUCACGUCAGGAUUUUAUCGCCAACAUGGAUCGCCUUGCUGCAAAAAUCAGAGAACUUCGAUAAUGACAUGUCUGGAACUGAUAAACAUAAAAGGUGUUUAUCAGACAGUUUGUGGUGUCAAAAUUAACUUCAUUCAUUCAUUAUUUAUAUUCAUAGUCGUAAUUGCACGUGUAACACGUAGUUACAAACCUACAUUGUAGAACAUGUUUGUAAAAGUUUUCCUUAAUAUAUUACAUGCACUUAUCAUUAAUGCAGUUGUCUGUAGGAUUGGUUUGGUGGUAUCAUGUGCUAGUUUGUCAACAUCCAGCAACUCUAUUUGCCAUAGUCAUCAGACGGUUUUAUGAGACAGUUUGUGAUGUGGAAACUAACUUUAUUCAUUAUUUAUAUUCAUAGUCGUAAUUGCACAUGUAACACGUAGUUACAAACCUACAUUGUAGAACAUACAGUUGGUAAAACUUUUUACUUAAUAUAUUACAUGCACUUAUCAUUAAUGCAGUUGUCUGUAGGAUUGGUUUGGUGGUAUCAUGUGUUAGUUUGUCAACAUCCAGCCACUUUAUUUGUCAUAGUCACUUAGGAUGCCACACUUUGGUUACAAAUUUACCAUAUGCAAGAGACAACGAAAGAUUUGUUGCCUUGGGCACAUAGUAAACACUAA